This 549-nucleotide ribosomal RNA is filed under the name Triticum aestivum (bread wheat). RNAcentral describes it as "partial small subunit ribosomal RNA". The record is from RNAcentral. Lineage: Eukaryota; Viridiplantae; Streptophyta; Magnoliopsida; Poales; Poaceae.
AUGGAUUCCAGUGAGGAAUACAAUUAUGAUGAGGAUGAGCAUGGAAAUUCAGUUAGGAUGAAAUCAAGAUUUCCAAGAUAUGAUAGCAAGGCUGCAAUUCCUAUCUUCAGCUUAGGCAUGACAUUUAGGGGAAGAGGUCAGUUCAAGAGGGUUGUUGUGGAGUAUGGUCUAGCUAUGAAGAGGCAUAUUUCCUUUGUAAAGGAUGAGGCUGGUAGGAUUAGGGCAAAAUGUUCUUGGACAAAGUGUCCAUGGUUGAUAUAUGCUGCAAAGAGGAGCUCAAAUGAAUGGUUUCAGGUCAUUACACUUGUAGACAACCAUAUAUGCCCAGAGAGGAGAGACAAUAGGUUGGUAACUACCCCUAGAAUUGCAGAUAAGUAUGAGAGAAUCAUGAAGGCCAAUCCAGGCUGGAAAGUGAAACCUAUUAAGGCCACUGUUAGGUUGGAGAUGUUUGAAGAUGUGCAUGUUUCCAAGAUAAAGAAAGUAAAAGCAAUAGUCAGAAACAGAGUUAGAGAAGCAAUGCAUGAAGAAUAUGCUAGGGUGUUUGAUUAG